AAAUUGAUGUGUUUGAAAAUUAUCAAUAUUCCUUUAAUAUAUAUUGCAAAUUUUUCAAAAAAUAAAUUGUUCAUUUUAUAAUGAAAAUCAAUAAAACUAAAACAGUCAUAGUGGUAUCUUCCAUAAUAACAGAUUGGCAUUUUGCAGUGUUUUGUACUUUUAGUUUCUACAAUCAUAAUAGUAUAUAUAUAAAUAUUAAAUAAUGUAUUGUUUGCUUUUGUAUGUAUAAAUUUACUUAUUUUGGAUCAACUUUUACUUGAUAUAUUGCAAAGAAAUUUGCCAACAUUUACCCCCAGCAUUAAAUUACUAUUUGUUUACAUGUUUUACUUUAGUUUCUUAGCGUAGGUUAGACCGCAUUCAUCCUUAUCCGGAGACUGACGGAAAGGGCCGAAAAGUCGGCGGCAUGAAAUACCCAAAUAUAGCAAUAUUUAUUUUUGUUUGUAUAAAAUAUAGAUUAUAAUGAGAAAUAAAUAAAUAUUUAUAAAAUAAUAUGACUUAGCCUGCUAUAACUUUCAUUCAUUCUGUUUAAAUGGGCAGUUAAUUAAGAUGUUGUAAGAAAAUAAAGUUGUGACAUUUGCUUAUCUACUAUAUAGGUUAAUUCUUUAUGAAUGUACUUGCAAUUUUAAAUCAAGAUAUGAUAUUUGUUGUCUACACUUAUAUAUUUUUAAGGUGUAAUUUUGUUGAAAUUUCAUAUCAUAAGUUCAUAUACAAGUGUCCAUGUUAUUUAAAAAAAAAAUAGCUUUACAUACAUAUACUGUACAUAUCUUGGUUCAAAACACAAUGAUACUGAUAGGAAAAAUGUAUAUUUGGGUAUGUUUGAUUAUAUCUUAGUGAAAGUGUAUAUUGUAUUCAUGAUUAAAACAGUACUUUUUUAGUAUAAAACAUUUAUUUUUAGUAUAAUUGGGCAAUAUUUGGGUAUAUUUAGGCAAUAUUUGGGCAAUAUUUGGGUAUUUCGUGCUGCCCCCGAAAAGUUGGGAUUGAUACAUAUUUAUCAUUGAAUUACGGACAGGGCGGACCGUGAGACAGGGCGGACCGUACCAAGGCGGACCAUAUGUUUGGACAGGGCAGACCAUAUUUUGGAACAGGGCGGCCUGUGACUCGAGACGAGUAGGACCGUGAUUUAUUAAACAAGCGUCUACUGAUAGCAUGUGAUGUAAACAAAUAGCCGGUUACUACAUACGUUUUAUACCCGUGUCAAUGGUCCACUUACUUCCUUGUCGCAAAACGAGAGAAUAUGGCUGUGAUUAUGAUAAAAUCUGUGCUUUUAUUUGUCUUUAUCGCUGCAAAUGUAGUUACUGGGAAAAGAGUUUACAACAUGAAGAUGGGAAAGGAUCUGAUAAAUUUUUAUUGGGAGAAUUGUAAUAAAA
Molecule: long non-coding RNA, 1367 nt
Organism: Ruditapes philippinarum (Manila clam)
Lineage: Eukaryota; Metazoa; Mollusca; Bivalvia; Venerida; Veneridae
Exons: 3
Source: RefSeq, a predicted model, not a curated record